GUGCCAGCAGCCGCGGUAAUACGUAGGCAGCGAGCGUUGUUCGGAGUUACUGGGCGUAAAGAGUGCGUAGGCGGUUUUCUAAGUUUGGUGUGAAAUCUCCCGGCUUAACUGGGAGGGUGCGCCGAAGACUGGAAGGCUUGAGUAUGGGAGAGGUAAGCGGAAUUCCUGGUGUAGCGGUGAAAUGCGUAGAUAUCAGGAGGAACACCUGCGGUGUAGACGGCUUACUGGACCAUCACUGACGCUGAGGCACGAAAGCGUGGGUAGCAAACAGGAUUAGAAACCCGCGUAGUCC
This 292-nucleotide ribosomal RNA is filed under the name uncultured bacterium. RNAcentral describes it as "partial 16S ribosomal RNA". It matches the Rfam family "Bacterial small subunit ribosomal RNA", at positions 505 to 796 of the family's 1533-position model. The record is from RNAcentral.